This 120-nucleotide ribosomal RNA is filed under the name Labrocarpon sp. RNAcentral's name for it is "partial large subunit ribosomal RNA". The record is from RNAcentral. Lineage: Eukaryota; Fungi; Ascomycota; Dothideomycetes; Asterinales; Stictographaceae.
CGGCAACAGCUCAAAUUUGAAAUCUGGCACCCGCCCGAGUUGUAAUUUGCAGAGGAGGCUUUGGAGUCGCCCCGGUCCAAGUUCCUUGGAACAGGACGUCGCAGAGGGUGAGAAUCCCGU